GAUGAACGCUGGCGGCGUGCCUAAUACAUGCAAGUCGAGCGAACAGACGAGGAGCUUGCUCCUCUGACGUUAGCGGCGGACGGGUGAGUAACACGUGGAUAACCUACCUAUAAGACUGGGAUAACUUCGGGAAACCGGAGCUAAUACCGGAUAAUAUAUUGAACCGCAUGGUUCAUUAGUGAAAGACGGUUUUGCUGUCACUUAUAGAUGGAUCCGCGCCGCAUUAGCUAGUUGGUAAGGUAACGGCUUACCAAGGCAACGAUGCGUAGCCGACCUGAGAGGGUGAUCGGCCACACUGGGACUGAGACACGGUCCAGACUCCGACGGGAGGCAGCAGUAGGGAAUCUUCCACAAUGGGCGAAAGCCUGACGGAGCAAUGCCGCGUGAGUGAUGAAGGUCUUCGGAUCGUAAAACUCUGUUAGUAGGAAAGAAAAAAUGUGUAACUAACUAUGCACGUCUUGACGGUACCCAAACAGAAAGCCACGGCUAACUACGUG
Molecule: ribosomal RNA, 497 nt
Filed under: uncultured bacterium
Lineage: Bacteria
Description: partial 16S ribosomal RNA
Rfam family: Bacterial small subunit ribosomal RNA
Source: RNAcentral